This 348-nucleotide ribosomal RNA is filed under the name uncultured eukaryote. Its description in RNAcentral is "SSU rRNA". It matches the Rfam family "Eukaryotic small subunit ribosomal RNA", at positions 594 to 945 of the family's 1831-position model. The record is from RNAcentral.
AUAGCGUAUAUUAAAGUUGUUGCAGUUAAAAAGCUCGUAGUUGAAUUUUAGGCUUGGUUGGACGGUCUGCCUUAGGGUUUGUACUGUCCUGGCUGGGUCUUACCUUCUGGUAAACUGUCGUGUCGUUUAUUCGGCGCGGCAGGGAACCAGGACUUUUACUUUGAAAAAAUUAGAGUGUUUAAAGCAGGCUUCUCGCUUGAAUACAUUAGCAUGGAAUAAUAGAAUAGGACUUUUGGUUCUAUUUUGUUGGUUUCUAGGACCGAAGUAAUGAUUAAUAGGGAUAGUUGGGGGCAUUAGUAUUUAAUUGUCAGAGGUGAAAUUCUUGGAUUUAUGAAAGACUAACUUCUG